UGAGGAAUUAUGCGCAAUGGACGAAAGUCUGACGCUGCGACGUCGCGUGGGUGAUGAAGGUCUUCGGAUCGUAAAACCCUGUCGAGAGGGAAGAAAGAGCGGGCGCUAAUAUCGCCUACUUCUGACGGUACCUCUGGAGGAAGCCCCGGCUAACUCUGUGCCAGCAGCCGCGGUAAUACAGAGGGGGCAAGCGUUGUUCGGAAUUACUGGGCGUAAAGCGCACGUAGGUGGCGACGUAAGUCGGGUGUGAAAGCCCCGGGCUCAACCUGGGAAUUGCAUUCGAGACUGCAUUGCUGGAGUACGGAAGAGGAGGGCGGAAUUCCCGGUGUAGCGGUGAAAUGCGUAGAUAUCAAGAGGAACACCUGAGGUGAAGACGGGUUGCUGGGCUGACACUGACGCUGAGGCGCGAAAGCCAGGGGAGCAAACGGGAUUAGAUACCCUCGUAGUCCCUGAGCGGGCUGGCAAGGCGCAU
RNAcentral lists this ribosomal RNA (472 nucleotides) under uncultured bacterium. RNAcentral describes it as "bacterial SSU rRNA". It matches the Rfam family "Bacterial small subunit ribosomal RNA", at positions 355 to 825 of the family's 1533-position model. The record is from RNAcentral.